Long non-coding RNA from Amphiprion ocellaris (clown anemonefish), 1309 nucleotides. The record is from Ensembl. NCBI's taxonomy places the organism in Eukaryota, Metazoa, Chordata, Actinopteri, Pomacentridae.
AAAGGGACUGGGCAUUUAUUGCAUGUGUGCAGCCGGUGUGUUUCAUUGGUGUCUUUAUCAUGAUCAGCAUCUUUUAAUGCAAUAACAUUGUGCUGGUCAAUUUAGGGGGCAGUGCCACCCCAAGGUCACCACGUGAACAUGUUUACUUAAGUCUGGUGUUUGUGCGUCACUGUCUGAACAGGCUUAUAAAGAAGAACUCUCAAAGGCGCUCAAAGGCACUCAAUUUUUCUCCUCUGAGACGAAAAAAACAGGUAUGUUUUAUAUUUUACCACUUCUAAAACCGAAAAGGGAUGUGAUUCCACUUUUUUUAGAGGCAAAAAUGUACCUUAAUAACAAAGAGCAUCAAAGUAUUCUCAAAUUGCCUAUUUAUCUGAAAGUUUUGCUGUAACCUAAGCUGACUUAUAUUAUUGUUGUUAUGACGACACCUGUGUUAAACGCAGUAAACAUGGUACAAAAAACAAAUAAACAAAUUUUUAAAAAACUAAGUUUAAAUGAACUGAAUAUGAAGUUUUAAUGGUUAAUUGUACAUGAACAUUUUAACGGACGGUAUGUAAAGGGAGCUGUCCAGGGGCAGUGGUGCUGACAUAAGAAGGCGCUAAAAAAAAACAAAAAAACAAAAACUAAAUAAAGCUGCUCUUUCACUUUUGGCCAUCGUGCAAUGAAAGCAGUUUUGUGAGCACAUGAAGAAAGAUCUGUCUCUGUUCUUCGUCAGUAACAAACAGCCAAGAUGAGACUGUACCUCGCGGUUGCCGUGCUGCUGCUGGCUUUGGUCGCAUUUGCAGAGGCUCAGGAUGAUAACGUGCAGCAGAAGUUAAGCGAGUUGGGCGAACAGAUCACCGAGGUGGGAAAGAAAGCGUCUGAGAAAUUGAACGAGUUUGCUGGCAGGGCCAGGGACUGGGGCAGUGACCUGUUUGAGAAAGUGAAGGCCGGGUGGGGACAACUUACGAAUUAGACGAGGAGACUUGCCCCUGUCACCAGCCUGAACCUGCCCUCACCUCUGACAUCUGACUUCUUCACCAUUCAUGGUGGGAGGCUGAUAUGUCAACAGGACACAUUGUUCUGCAGAUUGACUUGUCCAAAUGGUUACAUUGUCUCUCUGUAAGGAUUUUUUUGUUGUUGUUGAGUGUACUGUUAAUUUGUGUAAACUGUGAAAAAAGUGCAAUAAAGACAUAAAAAGUAUUUUUAAUUACAAAUUCUUUGUCAUCGUCUCUAUUAAUGAAUAAGAACAAUGUCUGUACUCGAUUACAGCAUUUUGAAAGUCUGUUAAAUAUGUUUGACAUAAAUAAAUGAAAUUUAGUUCUCUUUGACC